CUGAAAUGAAAGAGGGCAAGAGAAGUGCACAGAACCGUUCACCACAAAUCUCCUGAGGACGUCCGUAUCGACAGGCAAUGAAUGCGAAGUUUCCCUGUCCUGAUGGAGGUCCGACCAAACGAACAUGCAAUAAUCCGCCCCAGUCGUCCAGGCUCAGCGGGCCCCAGAGCUGCAGCCCUCGGUCCCGGGACUCCAUGGCCUUUCAUCUCAAUUGUGGAAAGAACCAACGCUUGCACGUGGACACACUCCAGUGAAAACACGAAGCCCAAAAACAACAAAAGAGUUUCUUUUAAACUUCUUCAAACCCCAGUCUUCCAAUAAAAGCUGAACAAACAUACCCUGCCACUUGCAAGCAGAGCGGCUGCUGUCCGGUGAGUUUCACAGAAAAAGGCCUUGCUUUCAAAAGGGAGGCUUUUGGGCCUAAUGAAAACUGCACCUUAACUGAAAUAAUAAAAUGCACACCACCCAAACACCAGCCAUCCAGCUCUACCAUUGGUUGUUUUCUCUGGGAGUGAGGUUGGUUGGUCACUUUCACUCUCUGUAGAUUCCUUGCUUUCAAAAAACACCUAAAAGUCCAUUGAAAACUGAAGCAUUUUCAUUAGUAGUCCCA
This 610-nucleotide long non-coding RNA is filed under the name Salmo salar (Atlantic salmon). RNAcentral describes it as "lncRNA (ENSSSAG00000110122.1)". Lineage: Eukaryota; Metazoa; Chordata; Actinopteri; Salmoniformes; Salmonidae. The record is from RNAcentral.